UCCAACCAAGGCAGAACCAAACCUCCUUCAAUACUCAGUCGAGAUGCAGCAAACCACUAGAACCAGCUCCAAUUUGCCCAAGGUUUUGCUAAUUGUAAAUCCACCAUUUCCAUUAGCACCCUAUAAAAGAACUAUGUUAGAAAUUGUGCCAUAAGGGGAAAACCUAGACAAAUAGCAUUUACUCAAUGGUUAUGUAUCAAAAUUUGUGUGUGAAUGCAUUCAAGACAAAAAUUAAAAAUGACUUCAUACAAAGAGCUAGCAAAACACAAGUAAUAUGCAAAACACAAUAUCAGCUAUUAGAUAUCAUUUUCGAGACCUGUUUCUCUUGGUUAGACACAGGGCAGCCUUCCCAGCCCUCACCACUAAGCCAAAGCAUCUUCUUCUUACAACCCCAAUAUUAGAGCUCAAAUCAAUCCCAAAAACUAACCUACAAAUUACUAAUAACAUGUACAUCAAUUAUCACACAUCAAACCAUAAACUAUAUUGGCUAUUCAGCUCAACUUCCAGCAACCAAAUAGAUCCAUUGCCUUGUUAAGAGUAAUAGGAGGAAAAAUUGAACAACAACUUAGUAAUCUGAAGUUACAAUACCCACUAAAGAUAACUGAACAAUGUAAAAUCACUCAC
Molecule: long non-coding RNA, 624 nt
Filed under: Fragaria vesca (wild strawberry)
Lineage: Eukaryota; Viridiplantae; Streptophyta; Magnoliopsida; Rosales; Rosaceae
Description: long non-coding RNA (FVES_LNC003036)
Source: RNAcentral